Molecule: ribosomal RNA, 472 nt
Filed under: uncultured bacterium
Lineage: Bacteria
Description: partial 16S ribosomal RNA
Rfam family: Bacterial small subunit ribosomal RNA
Source: RNAcentral
GUGAACGCUGGCGGCGUGCCUAAGACAUGCCAGUCGCGCGGGCCGCGGGGUUUUACUCCGUGGUCAGCGGCGGACGGGUGAGUAACGCGUGGGUGACCUACCCGGAAGAGGGGGACAACCCGGGGAAACUCGGGCUAAUCCCCCAUGUGGACCCGCCCCUUGGGGUGUGUCCAAAGGGCUUUGCCCGCUUCCGGAUGGGCCCGCGUCCCAUCAGCUAGUUGGUGGGGUAAUGGCCCACCAAGGCGACGACGGGUAGCCGGCCUGAGAGGGUGGCCGGCCACAGGGGCACUGAGACACGGGCCCCAAUCCUACGGGAGGCAGCAGUUAGGAAUCUUCCGCAAUGGGCGCAAGCCUGACGGAGCGACGCCGCUUGGAGGAAGAAGCCCUGCGGGGUGUAAACUCCUGAACCCGGGACGAAACCCCCGACGAGGGGACUGACGGUACCGGGGUAAUAGCGCCGGCCAACUCCGUG